Molecule: ribosomal RNA, 426 nt
Filed under: Subparmatus marinkellei
Lineage: Eukaryota; Metazoa; Arthropoda; Arachnida; Ixodida; Argasidae
Description: Carios marinkellei partial 16S ribosomal RNA
Source: RNAcentral
GGUAUUUUGACUAUACGAAGGUAUUGAAAUAAGGCUUUAAUUGGGUGCUAAGAGAAUGGUUUAACAAAAAUUAUCUUUCUUUAGAUUUAAAAUGGAAGUUGAUUUAAAAAUGAAAAAGUUUUUAUAGAAUUUUGGGACAAGAAGACCCUAUGAAUUUUUUUAAGAAUUUUAUUUUGGGAAUUUAAUGGAGAAUUAAAAGUGGAAUUUUUAGUUGGUUGGGGUGACUUCUAAAGAAUGAUUAUCUUUAGAAAUUGGAGGAAUUGGAUCCUAAAAUUUGGAAUGUUUGAAUAAAAUACUCUAGGGAUAACAGCGUUAUUAUUUUGGAUAGUUCAUAUAGAUAAAAUAGUUUGCGACCUCGAUGUUGGAUUAAGAUUCUUUUAUAAUGAAGCGGUUAUGAGAAGAAGUUUGCUCAACUUUUAAAUUCUU